RNAcentral lists this unclassified non-coding RNA (275 nucleotides) under uncultured fungus. Its description in RNAcentral is "sequence contains ITS1, 5.8S rRNA gene". The stretch from base 227 to 275 matches the Rfam family "5.8S ribosomal RNA", at positions 1 to 49 of the family's 154-position model. The record is from RNAcentral. Lineage: Eukaryota; Fungi.
UCUCCGUUGUUGAACCAGCGGAGGGAUCAUUACAGAGUUAUCUAACUCCCAAACCCAUGUGAACUUACCUUUGUUACCUCGGCAGUAGUUGCUGGGCGAGCCUACCCGGGAACGAGCUACCCUGUAGCGAGUUACCCUGGAACGACUUACCCUGUAACGCCUGCCGGUGGACUACUGAACUCUUGUUAUUCUAUGGAUAUCUGAGCGUCUUAUUUUAAUAAGUCAAAACUUUCAACAACGGAUCUCUUGGUUCUGGCAUCGAUGAAGAACGCAGC